UGCCUUUUGUUUUAUUUAUUUUUUCAGAAUCAAAAAAUAUCCCAGACCCUGAGUUGGUGGUGAAGUUUGGUGCUGUGAACAGCACACUGGGUUUCCUCCCCUGGCACAUCAGACUCACAGAGUUUGUUUCCCUGCCCUCCCACAAAAACGUUUCGUAUGAAGACCUGUUUGGUGCCCUGCAGCAUUACAGUGCCUGUCACCAGCGGCUCGGACAAUGACCGGCAGAUUGUUCUGCUCUUCAGAGAGGAGCACGGAUCAGGUCUAACAUGUUUGUUCAGAGGCUGGAUUGGAGGUGACAUCCUUCCUGUGUACCAUGACCACACCCGUCCUUUUCUUCUGGACUAAAAACUUUCAGGAUGGCUAAAAGAUGAAGGAAUCAGGAAUGAUGAGCAGCUUGUCUUCUGCCACUAAUUCGUGUUUCAUGAUGAAAUCACUUUCCAGUAUACUACAAAUCAGUGGAAGAAGGCUGAACAGAGGUGAACACUGACCUAUGACGACUAUCUCAACUGACCGUUUUGCAAUAUCGACUCUGUCUCCCCAGCCUCUGGGUUCUGUGGAUAUCAUUUCCACAGAAAAGAAAUGGAUACAGAGAAAACUAUUACAUUAGUUGUCACUUGGCAUCUUGUUAAAUCCAGCCAUUAUUUUUGGAUGGAUUUUCAAUACUGACAAUAAAUGGACAGAAGGUUAGCUUUGAGUGAGAAACCUCAUCAGUCUGUUGGCCUAUUUGUUCUGUUAUCCAAUUCAAAAUUGUCAUUUUCCAUUCGUGUUUUAGAAACUGACAAAUGUUUUAGUUUGCCUGAAAUAAAAAAGGCACAGUCACUUUGGUGACUGACCCAGAAAAAAUUAAACUUUUUUCUUUGAAAAGGAAA
Molecule: non-coding RNA, 869 nt
Organism: Poecilia reticulata (guppy)
Lineage: Eukaryota; Metazoa; Chordata; Actinopteri; Cyprinodontiformes; Poeciliidae
Source: RefSeq, a predicted model, not a curated record